AUUGAACGCUGGCGGCAUGCUUUACACAUGCAAGUCGAACGGCAGCGCGGUCUUCUGCCUUGCUGCGAGUUGCGAAGGGGGGAGUAAUGGAGCGGGACGUGCGCAGGUGUGGUGGAUAGCCCGGCGAAAGCCGGAUUAAUACCGCAUACUACCAGAGCGUGAAAGCGGGUGACCGAAAGGCCUCGCGCUAUAGGAGCGGUUGAUGUCGUAUUAGCUAGUUGGUGGGGUAAAGGCUUACCAAGGCGACGAUCCGUAGCUGGUCUGAGAGGACGACGAGCCACACUGGGACUGAGCCACGGCCCAGACUCCUACGGGAGGCAGCAGUGGGGAAUUUUGGACAAUGGGGGCAACCCUGAUCCAGCCAUGCCGCGUGGUGGAAGAAGGCCUUCGGGUUGUAAACCGCUUUUGUUCGGGAAGAAAUCCUCUGGGCUAAUACGCCGGGGGGAUGACGGUACCGGACGAAUAAGCACCGGCUAACUACGUG
This 484-nucleotide ribosomal RNA is filed under the name uncultured bacterium. RNAcentral's name for it is "partial 16S ribosomal RNA". It matches the Rfam family "Bacterial small subunit ribosomal RNA", at positions 28 to 507 of the family's 1533-position model. The record is from RNAcentral.